Molecule: ribosomal RNA, 966 nt
Filed under: Aplysina cavernicola
Lineage: Eukaryota; Metazoa; Porifera; Demospongiae; Verongiida; Aplysinidae
Also listed under: 1 other name
Description: SSU rRNA
Rfam family: Bacterial small subunit ribosomal RNA (bases 1-862)
Source: RNAcentral
AGACUCAUAAAGAGGCAGCAGUAGAGAAUCUUGUGCAAUAUAUGAAAGUAUGACACAGAGAUAUCGCAUAUAUGGGCUGUCUAAUAUACGUGCCAGCAGAUGCGGUUAUACGUAAGGCCUAAGUUUUUAUUGUAAAACAGGUGUAAAGGGUGUGUAGGUGAUUAAUAAUUUAGAGUUAAAAAGAAGUAGAUAGAACUUUUAUGUAACGGUAGAAUGUUUUAAUAUAAAAUGGAAUACCAAAGGCGAAAGCAAUCUACUAGCUUUAACUGACACCGAGACACGAAAGCAUGGGGAGCUAAUAGGAUUAGAUACCCUAGUCGUCCAUGCUGUAAACGAUGAAUAUUAGAUAUAUAGAAAAUGUGUCUUGAAAAACUUCCAAAUUCCACCUGAAGAGUACGAUUGCAAGAUUAAAAUUCAAAAAAUUUGGCGGUUCACUAUUCCAAUUAGAGGAGCGUGUAGUUUAAUUCGAUGUUACACGAGAAACCUUACCAAAACUCGAAUCCUAACCGGAGAAUAAAGAUUAAAAUAAAUCCAAGUUAGGCCAGGUAUUGCAUGGCCGUCGUCAGUUCGUGUUGUGAGAGAAAUAAAACGGACUUAACCCUUUAAUGUAAGUCGGUAUAUUAUUAAUAAUUAAAUUAAAAGGACGACGUCAGGCCCUUAUGAUCUCUAUGUUUUGGGCAGCGUAUGCGCUACAGUGUUUUAGAUAAAGGGGGGAAUAAAAAGGAAAUAAAACUUUAAAAUAUUACUCGAAAAGAAAAUUGAAAUAAUUUCUUGAAGUUGGAUUUAAUAGUAAUCGAAAAGUAGAGCGUUUCGGUGAAUAUGGCCCUAGUGUUCGUACAAAUCGCCCGUCAACUCUGCCUAGUAAAAAAGCUCAAAGUAUAAAAAGAAGCUAUAAUCUAAUAGCCCGUAUAAUAAAAUAAAUUAUCGGCACUUGGAAAGUCAUUAUUUUAGUCGGAUUUAAUAUUA